RNAcentral lists this ribosomal RNA (488 nucleotides) under uncultured bacterium. RNAcentral's name for it is "partial 16S ribosomal RNA". It matches the Rfam family "Bacterial small subunit ribosomal RNA", at positions 28 to 507 of the family's 1533-position model. The record is from RNAcentral.
GACGAACGCUGGCGGCGUGCUUAACACAUGCAAGUCGAACGCGCCUGUCCUCUGGGUUUCUGGGGGGUGGGUGAGUGGCGCACGGGUGAGUAACACGUGAGUAGCCUGCCCCCUUCUUCGGGAUAACGGUCUGAAAGGGCUGCUAAUACCGGGUAUUCACUGGUCUCCGCAUGGGGUCUGGUGGAAAGGUUUUUUUCUGGUGGGGGAUGGGCUCGCGGCCUAUCAGCUUGUUGGUGGGGUGAUGGCCCACCAAGGCUUUGACGGGUAGCCGGCCUGAGAGGGUGGCCGGUCACAUGGGGACUGAGAUACGGCCCAGACUCCUACGGGAGGCAGCAGUGGGGAAUAUUGCACAAUGGGCGCAAGCCUGAUGCAGCGACGCCGCGUGAGGGAUGGAGGCCUUCGGGUUGUGAACCUCUUUCGCCCGUGGUCAAGCCGCGACGUGGGUCGUGGUGAGGGUAGUGGGUAAAGAAGCGCCGGCUAACUACGUG